GGGGCUCGGCGCCAGCCCCUCUGAAGCGCUCAGCAUCCCCCCCGCUUACGGGAUGGCGGAUGUGUCUGGGGGUAUCCAUGACAACACUGCUGCAUGCCAGGGACAUACCACGGCAACAUGGCCUGGUAGAGUUAGUGUGUGUGUGUGUGUGUGUGUGUGUGUGUGUGUGUGUGUGUGUGUGUGUGUGUGUGUGUGUGUGUGUGUGUGUGUGUGUGUCCUUGGGAGGUUGGCUGGGGGGUCCAUUAAGUACCACAUAUCUCGGUAACAUUAAUAUUCACUCAGACAGGAAAGCUGCUGCUUUUCUCGACAGCUGUGUCAGAACCAGUAUGCAUACGGUUGAUAAGAAAACCACCUUCUUGUACAGCAGCUUCAUUCAUGUACUAUGUGUUGUAUACUUCAAGCACAGGUCAGGAUUCACUGAAUCUAUAACUAACAUGCGUACACACUGACACAAACUAUUUCACACACACAGUAGCUCUGGCAUAGAUCAAGCUGUGUUAUAAUAAUCCCAUCUGGGACGGCCUGGAUCCUCACUCAGACAGUACUCACAAAAUGAUUAUCUGAUGAGAUCCUGUGUGUCUCUACAAGAUGUGAUAUAAGAUGCUUUAUAUGUCACGGGUUAUAUAGUGUCUCUGCCCACACGCUCACAUACACAUGCAUGUAGACUCAGACUCAGAUCCUCGGGGAGUGUAUUUUUAACCCUGACUUCCUGUGCAUUUGCUGAGGGGUUAAAGGCCGGAAUGGUGAAUCAAGUGAAUAAUUCACAAUAGCUGAAACUCUUUCGAUGUAACCUCAGAAAUAAUGGGGGAUGGAGACCAGUGAGAGUUACAUGGUGGCACAAAGUAAUCCUUUUCAUUCUUACUCAGGGUUUUGAGCUAACUGUACAAAGUAAAGGGAAACAAGUAGGUCAAGAACCAAAAGCAAGUCAUCCUGGACUCUUAUUGUCCAAAGUCUGCUUCUUGGCAGGGUCUGUGAAAUGAAAUGACACCUUGCAUGUAUGUGAGCUUAUCUCAAUGUAUAUGUACGUACUAAUCAUUACGCCUAUCGUGUCUUUCCAGGUGCGAUGGAGAUCUCGUGGAUUGUGACUCAGAAAUAAAUGGCACAAUGUUUGGAUUCUUCAGGCUGAAGACGUCAAGGAUAUUCAGCUGAGCUCAAAGGUAAACAAGUCAUCCUGAUCAACAAGAGUUUUCAUCGGAAUAGGAGCAUCAAGACACUUAACAUUACUCUGCAACCCUUGAACCUGCACUGUACUUUCCAUUGCUGUUUUUCUGUCAAUUGGUUGCAUACUCCUGCACUACUGGUCAAACAGACUAAUCCUGUGACCAUGCACUAACUGUAACAACCAAUUGUGUUUUAUAUUUUGUUAUUCUAAAUGGGAGAAUACUUAGAAUAAAAAUAUUUCUCACGUUCAAACCCAUUUUCUUUUCAUGUAAUUAUUUGAGUCUAAAAAGUAUAUAUUUUUGGCAGCUUAAUAAAAGCCUUUUCUUCUUUUAACUGAUGUUUUAGUGUGAGUUAUUUCUCUCCUUUCUGUGUAGUGGGUGUGCACUCCAAGUAAAAAACAAUGUGCUUGACAUAAUUGGGUCCUAUUUGGCUAUGAAAAGAGCACGCGUGCUGAUAAAAGCUGGAAGGGUGAUCAAAGCACAAUGCGUCCCGAUCGACAUCAUACGCAUGACAUGGUUGUAGUUUAUCCUGACAGAUUAAUGAAACGUGAGGAAACAGGGGAAACAGGUUCAGACAGUUUCCAAGAAGCCUUCCUGUUCAUAAUCAGCUCCUUUUUAUAUUUUGUGCACGUCCUCUGACUAACAAAUAAAAUGUGCCUGUGUGUGCAUAACAUGGAACAAUUAAAAAACUGCAAUGAUUGGAUGCAUAUUCUCUGCACCUCCUUGUGUUGCCAUUUCCUCUCUGUCAGGUUUAAGUUUGAUCAAAGAAAAGUAGGACAAUUUCUGUGUAGUAUUCAUGGCAAAGUUUUCCUUAAAAAAAUGUAAACUGUAAGACGAAUAAAAAGUAGGAUCCUUUGGGACAGCAGCCUCAUUUGUCUCCCUUUUCUAUCUUUCAUUAGACUCAUCUUUUUUGACCUCUUCAUUUUCCUUUUUCCCUAAUCGCAUUUGUUUUCUGUCUCUUCCUCUUUAACAUUCAUUCUCCCUAUUUUUCUCACGCUAACUCGAUCUGUAUUUCCUUUACCAGCAUCACUCUUCCCUCCUUUCCUACAGCUGUCUUCGGUCCUGUCUGCCACCCUGGGUCUUCUCCCGCCCUCACCCAUUCUCUCUCGCUCCCUCCCUUGUCUUUCUCUCCCUCUCAGAUGUCAGAUCACAGUCUACUCUUCCGCUUGCCCUGUCAUCACAUUUUUCACACAGGCCCAUCCCUUAAGUAGGUCUGUAUCAUCAUAUCAUAUCAUGUAGAAUAUCUGAUCACAGCAAGAGAUGAAAGAUGGCCUCCACCUCUGUCUCCCCUCCCCCCACAGAGAGACCGACACACAAACGUACACACACGCUAGACUCCAGAAGCGCACACAUGUCAAUGGUCGUGUUGGACGUGAAUUUGAGCCUGACGGCUGGGUCCUGUGUUCAUUUCUACCCACCGUGUUUGCACCAAGUUGUCCAUGUGAUUGUUACAGCGUGGCAGGUGAGAUGGUGUGUAUUCCAAGAUGGUCCACUGAUGUUUGCAUCUCCUGCUGGUGGCUUUUGUCAUGAGGCAAAGGAUGCCCUGAAGCCAGCAGUGUCACAUCUACAGGUAACUAGCAAAAGGAAAAGGGAAGCGUCAACCUAAAGUGUCUCGGGAGUACAAAAAUAACUCCAACAUGUCUUGGUGUCAACUUGAAGGAUGCAGCACAAAACCCUUUUGAAGAUAUCCAGCAUUUUCUGCUGCUGACAGAAAAUGGUUCAAAAGUGCUGAGACGAUUAGCCUUACAAUGAAAUAGCUGAUCAAGCCUUUAUCUAUUCAAGUUAGACUAUUCAUCCCCACCCUCUGCAAGGCCUUUAGAAAUACCCAUUAUUUUCCAAAAAAAAGGCAAAGAUGUGUGUUUAUGCGUAAUUGUAUAAUUGUAUUCACAGAAUACAAGCAGUUGCUUGUGGAGAAACAUGUGUCAGUGCAGUACAGUAUGGUUUGUCACUAAGUGGGUCUGAAGGCCUGGACAAAGUAUACAAAUUCAAAAUGUGCGUAGAUGAAGUUUUUUUAAGAAGGUAUCAGUAUUCAAAAACCAAAUGCAGUCUGAAUGUUUCUAUACGAUAUCCACCCAUUAACAAAGUUGCACAGUAGUGCUGUGAAAUAACCCCUCCCAAAUGCUCAAAUGCCCACAUUACUGUAGAUUGACAGAAAUAGCGGACUCACAAUAUUACAGUUCUGUAUCUGGAUGAAUACAACACUUAUAUAUAUAUAUAUGAAUAGGUCACUUGCUUAAACACUACAUCUAGAUACAUCUUUCAGUACAAUUGGAUUAAGCCGAAAGCAUUUGGGAAAACAUUAAGACUUCAGACGACACUUACUCACCAUUGAUACCCUGAAGGCGGUAAGAAUGCAUGCACAAAUUCUACUAUUAAAGUUUAGAUGUUUAAAAAAAAAAAGGUUGUUUUCGUUGAAGGUGAUUUUUGGCCAUGGAACAUGACCUUGAAGCUGCUGUUAAAGAAAAGUAAAGAAUAAAACUUCUAAACUCUAUUAUACAAUAGAACAUUUUUGCUUCUUUCUUUGUCUCCUUUCUAUUAUUUUUCCACUAGACGGCACACUAUUUCUCUUUUAUCUACAGACAGCACACUUUGUGUUAUCUUAUUUUGUUUGGGAGAAGAUUCACAAGUACUAUCUGCCCCAUGAUCCCAACAGACGAAAAGAUACAGAGCUCCAAGUCUGGAAACUUCCCAGCGAGAGAAAUUAGGUCUUACUGAACCUUUGGUGUGUCUUUAAAAUCUCUGGUUAAAGAAGAUCUGUAACCCAAUGAAGCUGCAGGCUGCAUAGUGUUCAAGCUCUAUCAAAUGUGUUAUAAAGUGCAGAUUUUAAUAAACCAGCUUGUUUGACAGCACAACUGAAAUCUCCUGCAGGAAUUGGGCUUUUCAUUGGAUUAUUCAAGGUUGUUGGGGUUAACUGGGUUUACUGUAAAAUUAAAAGUUUUCAAAAGAAAAAAGUCAGAAAUAAAAUGUGUUUCACUUACUUUUCUAUCGUAUGAGAUACAACAACUUAAAUAUCCAAUUCUGCAAAUCACCUCUUGCAGCUCGGCGGCUAGGCACCGAUAGCAGCCAGCAAGGCCACUAGCCGCACAGCGUCAGAGAUCGACCCGCUAGUGUGCACUAGAUGUUGAAAUAGUGCAUCAUAUUUUGGGUUACAUAGUGACAAACGGGUCACUACAAAACAACAAUGGUUGUUUUAACCAUCACCUCUCCCCACUCAUCAGAGAAAGUUGUUGUAAUGUUUUGUCAAGCAUUAGGUAAACUGCAGAUCAGGUUCUGUAUUUGGUCUGUGGGGUUCUUUUAUAUUCAAUCCUGUACCUGAUCCAGGUAAAUUUGUG
Long non-coding RNA from Gasterosteus aculeatus aculeatus (three-spined stickleback), 4492 nucleotides. The record is from Ensembl. Lineage: Eukaryota; Metazoa; Chordata; Actinopteri; Perciformes; Gasterosteidae.